Molecule: long non-coding RNA, 256 nt
Filed under: Nicotiana benthamiana
Lineage: Eukaryota; Viridiplantae; Streptophyta; Magnoliopsida; Solanales; Solanaceae
Description: long non-coding RNA (NBEN_LNC030499)
Source: RNAcentral
CCCCCUUGAACAAAUUCUUAAAGGUUAGGUUACUACCUGCUUCUACGGAAGAGGUUUACUUUGUACCGCCCGGAGGUCAUAUAGAUCGGAAUCCGGAGCGAUAAGAACGAAAGGGUUGGUGUGGCCACAGCUACAACUACUGGCGCUUCAAAUUAGAUUCUAAGGGCGCAAGUAGAAAGAAAAUCUUUAUACGCUAUUAUCAUCCAAUGAAUUCAUUGCAACACCACGAACAAUGAGACUUCUGUCUCGCUUACCU